CCGUUCUCCAUCUCCUCCCUUCGUCUCCACAACCACGGUCGUGUUCGUCGUCGCCAUCAGAGAUCAGAUCAUAAGAAGCAGUAGUCGAUCCCAUCGCCUUACCGGUUGAUCCUUCGUUUCUUGAUCGUCUUUGGCGUUUCUUCUCUCGCGAUGACGGCGACCGCUGGUCUGCGGAUCGAUGUCGGGAGUCUUCUAUCGGCUGAGCUGGAUGCGGAGGUCGAUCAGACCCUCACGGUGGGGUGUUAAUCAGCGUUCCUCGGUGUGCCGAUCCGAGUGCCGUUUAUGCCGAGUCACAUCUCUUCAUCUCCGGGGUAGUUGGCAGCUUGUCUAAUUACAUUAGAUGGCGAUUCCCAGGUUGAGAUGCUCGCAGGGCGUGGGGCAUCGCUUUCCUAUAAAAAUGGCCUUCGUCGGGUGAUUCUCGACUUUGGCCCUUCCAACAAGCAAGUUCGCGGGUUGAUGUCGGGAGUCUUAUGUCAGUUGAGCUGGAUGCUGAGGUCGAUCGGGCCCUCACGGUAGGGUGUUGAUUAGCGUUCCUCGGUGUGUCGAUCCGGGCACCGUUUAUGCCGAGCCCCAUCUCUCCGUCUCCAGGGUGGUUAUUCCCCUACAAAAACUGCCCUCGUCGGGUGAUCCCUGAUUGUGGCCCCUCCAACGAGCAAGUCAACGGAGUAUUCAAUUGAUUUUUGCCUCUCUCUAGGGCCAGAUGCCGGCCAUAGGUCUUUAUUAAUAUACGAGGGUCGGUCGUACGCGGGUUGGCAUGGUGGACGUGUCGAACGGUGCCUUGGUACGGAUUCUGACCUGGAGUGUCUUGGGGGUGGCGCCAUCUCGGGAUUCCCGGGACGAGAUGUGCCGAGCAACGCCUUGAUAUGGAUUCUGACCUAGCGUGUGGUAUCGGUUGUGACGUGUCUUAUGCCUAAAAUAUGUUUUAUCACCGGGCAUGAAGAUAAGUUCCCGUCAAGUUAACGUGCGAACUUAUGAAGAUUUUUCAAUGCCUGACAAUAUACCGAAACCCCAUCUAGUCCUGUGCCACCUUGGGGGUUCCAGGGUGCUAAAAUAGCUGACGUUUUGUGUGCAGUUAUGGCUUACAGAAAAUAAGUCGUGGCAAGCGAAAACGGAGCCAUUUUGGGGUAGUUCGGCUCGGCGCGGUGAGCGGUUGCAUUGCAGCACUUCAACAUGUUCGAACAUGUAUUUUUAUAAGUAAAAAUAUACAAAACCAAGGCAAAAUAGGCUAUCAUGUCUCUAUACAAGCAUACAAAAGCGUUGAACGGUUCGUUGAACGAAAUAGUUGUGGGUGUGCGAUAGCCUGACAGUUCGCUCUUAAUUUAAAUUUUAUUUUGUAACUCAAAUUAGCUUUCAUAGAUACACAAAUACAUCGGUAUUCAUAGGCUUCGUAAAUAUAUCUACACCUUAAUCUUUACUUCUGUAAUAUUUCAUCUCGAUUACUUUACUCUUCACUUGAUGUUUGAGGAAAUGAUUAUCGCAUAAAUGUAUUUGCUUCUAUCACGAUUGACUGGGUUCUUGGAUAACUUCAGAGUUAGAGUUAUGACAAAAAAUCUUGGUCGA
Long non-coding RNA from Musa acuminata AAA Group (dessert banana), 1560 nucleotides. RefSeq lists it as uncharacterized. The record is from RefSeq and is a predicted model, not a curated record. NCBI's taxonomy places the organism in Eukaryota, Viridiplantae, Streptophyta, Magnoliopsida, Zingiberales, Musaceae. The transcript has 2 exons.